UCGUCCAUGUGUUCCCUCAUCCCUUGCCCGCUCUCGCUCCUCCACUCCGCAUAAAUCCUCGAGAGCAACGAACGCGACACGUGGGCGGUCAGCGUCUGCUGAGGCUGAGGAUGGCACCGCACUCGUGCCCCCGCCCCGCCGCCGUGGCGCCGCGCUCCUCCCUCCUCCUCGCCCCCUCGCCGGCCGCCGCGCCCCUCUCGUGCCUCGCGGCGGCGUCCCCGUCGCGCGGCGCGGAUAAGCGGAGGAAGCUCAGUUUAGUGCGCGCAAGAACCGAUGGUUCGGGGUCCGGCGCUGCGGCGGCCGAGGCAUCCACCGUGGGAGACAAUUUGGAAGGGGAGGAAAGCGGCGGCGGGGAGGUAAUUGCUUCGGCUGGCUCAUCGGCAGGGAAGCAGCCGCCUCCCGUCAAUCCCAAUAUUGAAAAGGAGCUCAAGAAGGCAGUCCAGAAGACUGCCGCAACCUUUGCACCGAGGGCGUCCACGAAAACAAAGAACCCUGCUGUCCCUGGAAGUGCCCUGUACACUAUUUUUGAAGUCCAGGGAUACGUCUCCAUGCUGUUGGGUGGAGCCCUUUCCUUCAAUCUCGUGUUUCCAUCAAAUGAGCCUGACAUCUGGAGGUUGAUGGGAAUGUGGUCCAUUUGGAUGUUCACUAUACCUUCACUUCGGGCCCGUGACUGCUCAAACAAGGAGAAAGAGGUUCUCAACUACUUAUUUCUCCUUAUUCCCCUGAUCAAUGUUAUAAUUCCAUUCUUCGUGAAAUCCUUUGCUGUUGUCUGGUCAGCAGAUACAGUUGCUUUCUUUGUGAUGUAUGCAUGGAAGGUAACUUCUUAUAGUAAUGUUUGCUGCUCCUUCAGAUUAAGUCAUUAAAAAUUAAGCAUAUUCUUUCUGCACAGCUUGGAUGGCUUCAAAGUUCGGAGUAAAAGAUUUUCAGUGUGCUUUCUUGGUGAUGUAUGCAUUGAAGCUUGAAUGACUGGCUGCAAAGGGCGGAGUGAAGAGCUUUUGUGGUUGAAGAAACAUUUGUCCUCAAUUUUUGGUCAUUUGGAGGGGGGGGGGGGGCAUGGAAAAACAUGCUUUGACCAUUUAAGUGAUAAAUAGAUGUACCUGUAGUCUUCAAAUUUUGUUUGACUAAACUAGGCAGUCUAGAUGGGUUUCAAUUUCCCAACGUUGUCCCGGAUAAUAGCUGAGUUUGUUCUGAAGAUAAAGGAAGUACCAAAUGAAGUCAGAUGAAGCAACAAGCGUAACUUCAAAACAUUUGUAUAGUUCAAGUCAGAUCUGAGACUUUUGGACCCACAUUACCACGAAAGAAUAUCAUGUUGCCCAUGGCUUAUGUUCUAACAUGAUUGCAUGCUUCCAGCUUCAGAAGUUCAGAUACUUCUGUUCCAAUGUGGUGCUCAGUGACCACUUCCCUGGCCCCUUGUUCUAGAAUAGGAGCUGUACAAAGCAUACUGUAAUUAUGUACAUGCCAGAUUAGAAACUAGGUUUGCAGAAUUUCACCUUAAUUUGCUGGCAUCCAGACCAGACAAGAAGACUACAUGAGAACACUGUGCUCUCUAUUACUCUUUUUUAC
This is an RNA transcript of Panicum virgatum (switchgrass), 1563 nucleotides long. It is a transcript of the gene named protein RESISTANCE TO PHYTOPHTHORA 1, chloroplastic-like, with no coding region annotated. NCBI's taxonomy places the organism in Eukaryota, Viridiplantae, Streptophyta, Magnoliopsida, Poales, Poaceae. The transcript has 5 exons. The record is from RefSeq and is a predicted model, not a curated record.